AAGAACCCUGCAGAAAAACCUAGAGAAAUUCAGAGAGAAAGAGAGAAAGAAGAACAGAAAAAUCAGUGAGAAAAAUCAGGAAAAAAAAAAAAAAAUUGGUGGGGACCUAAUCUUCAACCUUAGCUCAGUUUGUUACCUUGAUAAAGAUCAGAAGGUGAGAUUUUUAAAUAAAACCGUAGACCUAGUUGAGUUCUGAUCAUGAUCAGACCUUGAUCUUUCUCUUUGAUCAGUCCAGCCACAAGCUUACCUUGGAGAAGAGGAUCAGCUGAGGCCAUCUAGUCCUUUGGUUCAUCUUUGUAAGCUUUGGUCUCUUACCUCAGUCAUGUCUUGAUCAGAGCUAGUUGAUGUUUACAUAAGAACUUGGUCGGAUCAGUUCUCUAAGUGGUGAUAUUGUUUAGAUUUUGAUUAAUUUCGGUUUGAAUCAACCUCUUAGAAUCACCAGCUAUGAUGUUUUGAUCUGGCCUUGAGUAAACCGAUUUGAACUCAGUCUGAUCUUGUCCUGAACUUUGGUAGACUGACUAGAACCGAGCUGAACUUGUAUAGUCUGAGCAGAACCAAGCUUGAACUGAUCUGAUCUAAGGUGUUAAGGCAUGAACCGAACUGAUCUU
This 608-nucleotide long non-coding RNA is filed under the name Brassica rapa (field mustard). Its description in RNAcentral is "long non-coding RNA (BRAP_LNC008381)". The record is from RNAcentral. Lineage: Eukaryota; Viridiplantae; Streptophyta; Magnoliopsida; Brassicales; Brassicaceae.